Molecule: non-coding RNA, 122 nt
Organism: Brenneria sp. EniD312
Lineage: Bacteria; Pseudomonadati; Pseudomonadota; Gammaproteobacteria; Enterobacterales; Pectobacteriaceae
Source: Rfam
CCAUCAUCACCAUCACCCUGACUAGUCUUUCAGGCGAUUGGUGCUGGAAGACGUUCAGAUCUUCCAGUGGCGCAGAACUUAAAGAGAGCCCUCGGAAGAUCGACUUCCGAGGGUUUUUUUUA